This 415-nucleotide ribosomal RNA is filed under the name uncultured bacterium. RNAcentral describes it as "bacterial SSU rRNA". It matches the Rfam family "Bacterial small subunit ribosomal RNA", at positions 355 to 787 of the family's 1533-position model. The record is from RNAcentral.
UCGGGAAUAUUGCGCAAUGGAGGAAACUCUGACGCAGUGACGCCGCGUAUAGGAAGAAGGUUUUCGGAUUGUAAACUAUUGUCGUUAGGGAAGAAAAAUGACAGUACCUAAGGAGGAAGCUCCGGCUAACUACGUGCCAGCAGCCGCGGUAAUACGUAGGGAGCAAGCGUUAUCCGGAUUUAUUGGGUGUAAAGGGUGCGUAGACGGGCGAUCAAGUUAGUUGUGAAAUCCCUCGGCUCAACUGAGGAACUGCAACUAAAACUGGUUGUCUUGAGUGCAGGAGAGGUAAGUGGAAUUCCUAGUGUAGCGGUGAAAUGCGUAGAUAUUAGGAGGAACACCAGUGGCGAAGGCGACUUACUGGACUGUAACUGACGUUGAGGCACGAAAGUGUGGGGAGCAACAGGAUUAGAUACCC